UCACUCAUUCUCUCUCAUAUCACAACUACGGUUUCUUUUUUUUUUCUCUCUCUCUCUCUCUCUCUCUGUAUUCUCUUCGGAUCUUUAGAGAUCAUAUCAUCAACGCUGCAAAUCAAGGUUAGAUCAUUAAUAUUUUCGAUUAAACACGCGGAUUUCAUAUAUCGAUGGCUGUCAAUCUUCGUUUAGAGUGUUUGCUGAUUUGUUUUUCAUUCUUCAUAACCUAGGGUUUGAUGAUCUACUAUAUGUUUACUUCUCACACAAAUGUCAUCAACAGAUUUGUAUGUUCGUUUAUUAGAUUGUUGUUUGUAUUUUCUGUGAUAAAUGUUCGAGUAUAUCGUAUUUAGGGCUUCAUCUUCUUCAACACGCUUCACGUACAGAAAAAUUGGCGUAUUAUUGAAAUUAAAAUUUAGGGUUUCUACAGACAGAAGUAACAUGAAUCCGGAUUCAGUGAAAUUGACUCUGCAAACUUUAGCAUAUGGAAAUGUUAUGGUUGCAGCUGCUCGUGAUUAUUAGAAGGGAUUAUUAGCUCAAGAAAAAGCACAAGCAUCAUCCUCGAAUAAUGAGGAGGUUGAUCUAGAUGAGUUGAUGGAUUACCCCGAGCUGGAAAAGCUACAUGCGGAUAGGAUCGCGGCUCUUAAGAGAGAAGCUGAGAAGAGACAAUCUUUGACUAAAAAAGGAAACGGGGAGUACAGAGAGAUAACCGAAGGAGACUUUUUGGGUGAAGCCACCAAUAGCAAAAAGGUGAUUUGUCACUUCUAUCAUCGCGAGUUCUAUCGCUGCAAGUAAGUAUAUCUUACUGUUUUAUAAAAUUACCAAAAUAAUCAUAUUCGAUCUUGGAUAUGUCCUAGAAGUUGUCACACAAUAAAAAUUUCUUGAACAAGCAAAGGUUUUAGAAGAUGGAAUGUAUAGAGCUAUUAAUAUUUACUUAAAAGUAAGUAUUCUUCUUCUUUCUAAGCUCAACAAUCUGUAUAUAUAUUUAAUAUUUAGUGAUGAUAUAUAACAGGCACAUCCAAUGUUAAGUGACAUGGAAAGAAAAAAGGUUUGCAGCUUGAUGGAUUGCCAAAAGCUUUCACGUUGGCAUGAAGAUAGAAGACAUUCUAUAUCUUGAUCUGCAUACUUGGCAUGAAGAUUGCAACCAUUGUCUUUAUGGAGGAUUUAACAAGCUUGUGGAACUGUUGGAAGUGGAAAGAAUAGGGAUUUGUCAUCAAGCUGUUUGGAUAUGAUGAGUUCGUAGGCGGCAUUGCAAUUCUCCAUCGUCGUCGACAAAAACAACGAGGAAUCAAAGCGACGAUGGUUGUGUUUUUCAUUUAAGUACAAACAAAGUUUGGAGAGGCUGAGUUCGUAGGCGGCAUUGCGAUUCUCCAUCGUCGUCGACAAAAACAACGAGAAAUCAAAGCGACGAUGGUUGUGUUUUUCAUUUAAGCACAAACAAAGUUUGGAGAGGCUGAGUUCGUAGGCGGCUUUGCGAUUAAGGUUAUCAAAUAUAUGGAUCAUGGUCCUUAAUCACUCACCAGAGCAGUUGAGCUUACAUGUACUUCAGAAGCUAUCGCUAAAGCCGAGCAGCUGAUUAACCUUGUCCUUGCCGAGUAAAGCUGUUGGUAUAGAGGCUGGUAUCUCUAUCUUUCUCUGAAUUUUUAUGGCUGGUAUCUCUAUCUUUCUCUGAAUUAUUAUCUGUUCAAAACUUCUGUUCUAAACAUUUGUUCAAGACAUAUGUUCAAAACAACUGUUCAAAACAUCUGUUCUACACAUAUGUUCUAAACGUCUGUUCAAAACUUCUGUUCAAAACAUCUGUUCUAAACAUCUGUUCAAGACAUCUGUUCAAAACAUCUGUUCUAAACAUCCGUUCUAAACGUCUGUUCAAAACUUCUGUUCUAGGAGGGUGAGUCAGGGCCUAAGAUCAGGCCGAAAGGCGUAGUCGAUGGACAACAGGUAACAUCUGUUCUAAACAUUUGUUCAAGACAUCUGUUCAAAACAUCUGUUCUAAACAUCUGUUCUAAACGUCUGUUCAAAACUUCUGUUCUAAACAUCUGUUCUAAACAUUUGUUCAAGACAUCUGUUCAAAACAUCUGUUCUAAACAUCUGUUCUAAACGUCUGUUCAAAACAUCUGUACUAAACAUCUGUUCUAAACAACUGCUCAGCAUUUUUUAGUUAUGGUAAGUGCUCAGCUAAUAUCACUUUGGUAGAAGAACCUAGCAUUAGCAGCUCCACUGGGACUACGACAUUGACAGCUCUACUUUUAGGAAGGCUUCUUGUGGUAGCGAAUGCUGGAGACUGUCGAGCCGUAUCCGUUUGGUGUUCACACAUUCCACAUUAGUUUUGGAGCAGUUCUGAUGCAAACAAAGUAAUUGAGCUGGACCGCUAGAAUCAAAAGGUAUAUCUGCACAAAGGGUGAGUAGCUCUUUAAAUAACUCUAAUUUAAUUUCUUAUUUUAUUAAAGAGGUACAGAUAAUAAGAGCUAAAACUGGUUCACAUCAGUGGAUUCAUCAUAAGCAGCUGUUUGCAUUAGACUUUCCCCUUGAAAGUGGUUAUAACAUCUGAUGCCCCUCAUCCACUGUUUGUAUACUACAACUGCUGUCCAUUAAGUACUGCUUAUGUACAACAACUGCUGAAGACAAAGUGCUGCUAUUUAAUCUACUGCCCUAAGUCAAGUGCUGCUAAAGACCAUUUCCUUACCCCUAACUACUGUUGUGCUCAAACAUCUGUUUUCUAAAUAUUGUCCACUGCUGAAAGUCAACCCCUGUUCUCUUAUAUUCUUGAUAAGCACUGUUGUUCAAAAUCAGUGUUAUAUCCACUGAUAAAGCUAUCCACUUAUAGUUAAAAUGAUCCAUUGUUUUCACUUUAAAACAGUGGUUUGUGGAGAAAACAGAUGUUUGAAACCACUGUUGGGUUAAAACAGUGGUUUGAAAACAGGUAGGAAUGGAAUGUCACCCAGCGUUAGAAGUUAAUCCUAUAUUCGAAACAUGAUGUCUUGAUUAUUCAUUAGUUUUUUUUUCUUUUUUAUAAUUUUUAGAGUUUUUUAUAAGCGUGUCGUUAAGUUCAAUUCAUUAGUUUUGCAUUUGAUUUUAAAUUAUUACGCUUGCAGUCAUAUUAUUUAGGGCUUUGAGUAAUUUUGGGCAUUAGAUACUCAUGAAUGUGUCAACUCCUAAGGCGGAUAGGUGGCUUUGGGAGGUAUGAAAAACAGAAUUGAUAAAUUUAGGGAAAAUGUGAUUGAAAGAUGAUAACGCAAUAAUGGAGGAUCUAAUUCUACAGCUUUGGUAAAUUUAGGUGUGUUUUCAAAUAAUGCUCCCUAGAUGUUUGAAGACCGACAAAUGUCCAACGAAGCAGCACUGUGGACAUUUGUCAUUCUUUGUUGGUUUUCAAAACAUCUAUGAACCAUUAUUUGAGAACACCCUUGCAUUUAUCGAAGUUGUAGAAUUAGAUCCUCUACUGUUGGGUUAUCAUCUUUCAAAAUCAUUUUCCUUAAAUUUAUCGAUUUUGUUUUUCAUGCAGGGAUAUAAUCUGCUUUUUAGUAUUUGAUUUGGCCGAUGACCCAUGUUCAAGGAUGCUUUAUGUUUCAGACUAUACGAAGAUUGCCUCUUGGUUAUCAUGAUGUUAAAUAUUAAAUUAAUAUGGUCUCAUUUGUUAAUAAGCUUAUAAUACUAACACAUACUUUUUUUAACAUUGUUUUAUAGGUGUGUUAUUAUUCAUGUUCAAGAUAACCUCUUUCGUGUUCAUGUGAGCAAGAAGAGAGGAAGACACAAAGGAUGGGUCAAAACGGUUCAGAUGAUACAGGUUCACGUAAUAAGAAGAAACUCUUUGUUGCGGAAGUGGUUAUCUUAAACAUGAGUAAUAACACACCUAUCUUCUACCUCCAUUGCAAGCAUUGCUGUUUUCGACAACAACUUGCGAUAACAAAUCUGAGGCGUUUAGUAUAUUGUGUUUUGAUCAAGUGAAUGAAACUCUGUUGAGAG
Molecule: long non-coding RNA, 3951 nt
Organism: Helianthus annuus (common sunflower)
Lineage: Eukaryota; Viridiplantae; Streptophyta; Magnoliopsida; Asterales; Asteraceae
Exons: 13
Source: RefSeq, a predicted model, not a curated record